Long non-coding RNA from Oncorhynchus keta (chum salmon), 448 nucleotides. RefSeq lists it as uncharacterized. The record is from RefSeq and is a predicted model, not a curated record. NCBI's taxonomy places the organism in Eukaryota, Metazoa, Chordata, Actinopteri, Salmoniformes, Salmonidae. The transcript has 3 exons.
GUCUGUGGUGUGUAAUGAGGAGCAACCAGAUGCUGCUGGUCUGUGGUGUGUAAUGAGGAGCAACCAGAUGCUGCUGGUCUGUGGUGUGUAAUGAGGAGCAACCAGAUGCUGCUGGUCUGUGGUGUGUAAUGAGGAGCAACCAGAUGCUGCUGGUCUGUGGUGUGUAAUGAGGAGCAACCAGAUGCUGCUGGUCUGUGGUGUGUAAUGAGGAGCAACCAGACGCUGCUGGUCUGUGGUGUGUAAUGAGGAGCAACCAGAUGCUGCUGGUCUGUGGUGUGUAAUGAGGAGCAACCAGAUGCUGCUGGUCUGUGGUGUGUAAUGAGGAGCAACCAGAUGCUGCUGGUCUGUGGUGUGUAAUGAGGAGCAACCAGAUGCUGCUGGUCUGUGGUGUGUAAUGAGGAGCAACCAGAUGCUGCUGGUCUGUGGUGUGUAAUGAGGAGCAACCAGA